This 406-nucleotide ribosomal RNA is filed under the name uncultured bacterium. RNAcentral describes it as "partial 16S ribosomal RNA". It matches the Rfam family "Bacterial small subunit ribosomal RNA", at positions 29 to 526 of the family's 1533-position model. The record is from RNAcentral.
AUUGAACGCUGGCGGCAGGCCUAACACAUGCAAGUCGAACGAGUGGCGGACGGGUGAGUAAUGUCUGGGAAACUGCCUGAUGGAGGGGGAUCACUACUGGAAAGUGUCGCUAAUCCCGCAUACCAGCGAGUGUGCCCAGAGGGGAUGAGCUAGUGGGUGGGGUAAAGGCUCACCUAGGCGACGAUCCCUAGCUGGUCUGAGAGGAUGACCAGCCACACUGGAACUGAGACACGGGCCAGACUCCUACGGGAGGCAGCAGUGGGGAAUAUUGCACAAUGGGCGCAAGCCUGAUGCAGCCAUGCCGCGUGUAUGAAGAAGGCCUUCGGGUUGUAAAGUACUUUCAGCGGGGAGGCGUUACCCGCAGAAGAAGCACCGGCUAACUCCGUGCCAGCAGCCGCGGUAAUAC